Molecule: non-coding RNA, 125 nt
Organism: Hordeum vulgare subsp. vulgare (domesticated barley)
Lineage: Eukaryota; Viridiplantae; Streptophyta; Magnoliopsida; Poales; Poaceae
Source: Rfam
UUAAUACUCCAUCCGUCCGAAAAUACUUGUCACAUAAAUUGAUGCAUCUAGAUUUAUUUUAAUUUUAGAUACAUCCAUUUUUAUAAAUUUAUGCGACAAGUAAUUUUGAAGGGAGUGAGUAGUAG